UACGUAGGGCGCAAGUGUUGUCCGGAAUUAUUGGGCGUAAAGAGCUCGUAGGCGGCCUGUUACGUCUGCUGUGAAAUCCCGGGGCUUAACCCCGGGCGUGCAGUGGAUACGGGCAGGCUGGAGGCAGGCAGGGGAGAACGGAAUUCCCGGUGUAGCGGUGAAAUGCGCAGAUAUCGGGAGGAACACCGGUGGCGAAGGCGGUUCUCUGGGCCGCAACUGACGCUGAGGAGCGAAAGCAUGGGGAGCGAACAGG
This 253-nucleotide ribosomal RNA is filed under the name uncultured bacterium. Its description in RNAcentral is "partial 16S ribosomal RNA". It matches the Rfam family "Bacterial small subunit ribosomal RNA", at positions 524 to 776 of the family's 1533-position model. The record is from RNAcentral.